This is a non-coding RNA of Pelobates cultripes (western spadefoot toad), 104 nucleotides long. NCBI's taxonomy places the organism in Eukaryota, Metazoa, Chordata, Amphibia, Anura, Pelobatidae. The record is from the annotation of a GenBank genome assembly.
UAUUUCAAUAAAUUAAACCAAGGAUGGCUAGGGCUGCACCCUAUAAUAUAUCCAUGUUCAGGUGAGUGCAGCCCUAGCCAUCCUUGGUUUAAUUUAUUUAUAUU